RNAcentral lists this ribosomal RNA (253 nucleotides) under uncultured bacterium. RNAcentral's name for it is "partial 16S ribosomal RNA". It matches the Rfam family "Bacterial small subunit ribosomal RNA", at positions 524 to 776 of the family's 1533-position model. The record is from RNAcentral.
UACGUAGGGGGCGAGCGUUGUCCGGAGUUACUGGGCGUAAAGGGCAUGCAGGCGGUCGGACGCGUUUCGGGUGACAGCGGGUGGCUUAACUACCCGAGUGGUCGAAAGACGGUUUGACUUGAGGACGCGAGAGGGACACGGAAUUCCGGGUGGAGUGGUGAAAUGCGUAGAGAUCCGGAGGAACACCGAAGGCGAAGGCAGUGUCCUGGCGCGUAACUGACGCUGAGGUGCGAAAGCUAGGGGAGCGAACGGG